AAAUUUAUAUAUUAUGCCGUAGACAGUAGGUGCUUAUAGCUUAAUUUCCUACCGAGGAUUUAGUAAAGCCUUUUAACUCUGCGCGCAUAAUACGCAGAGUUUUUAUAUU
RNAcentral lists this small RNA (109 nucleotides) under bovine gut metagenome. Its description in RNAcentral is "Ribosomal protein L10 leader". It matches the Rfam family "Ribosomal protein L10 leader". From Rfam's summary of the family: This family is a putative r-protein leader autoregulatory structure found in B. subtilis and other low-GC Gram-positive bacteria. It is located in the 5' untranslated regions of mRNAs encoding ribosomal proteins L10 and L12 (rplJ-rplL). The record is from RNAcentral.